AUUGAACGCUGGCGGCAGGCUUAACACAUGCAAGUCGAGCGGGGAAAGGUAGCUUGCUACCUGACCUAGCGGCGGACGGGUGAGUAAUGCUUAGGAAUCUGCCUAUUAGUGGGGGACAACAUCUCGAAAGGGAUGCUAAUACCGCAUACGUCCUACGGGAGAAAGCAGGGGACCUUCGGGCCUUGCGCUAAUAGAUGAGCCUAAGUCGGAUUAGCUAGUUGGUGGGGUAAAGGCCUACCAAGGCGACGAUCUGUAGCGGGUCUGAGAGGAUGAUCCGCCACACUGGGACUGAGACACGGCCCAGACUCCUACGGGAGGCAGCAGUGGGGAAGAUUGGACAAUGGGGGGAACCCUGAUCCAGCCAUGCCGCGUGUGCGAAGAAGGCCUUUUGGUUGUAAAGCACUUUAAGCGAGGAGGAGGCUACCGAGAUUAAUACUCUUGGAUAGUGGACGUUACUCGCAGAAUAAGCACCGGCUAACUCUGUG
RNAcentral lists this ribosomal RNA (485 nucleotides) under uncultured bacterium. RNAcentral's name for it is "partial 16S ribosomal RNA". It matches the Rfam family "Bacterial small subunit ribosomal RNA", at positions 30 to 507 of the family's 1533-position model. The record is from RNAcentral.